This 1434-nucleotide ribosomal RNA is filed under the name metagenome. Its description in RNAcentral is "bacterial SSU rRNA". It matches the Rfam family "Archaeal small subunit ribosomal RNA". The record is from RNAcentral.
ACCCGUUGAUCCUGCGGGAGGUUGCUGCUAUUAGGAUUCGACUAAGCCAUGCAAGUCAAGGGGGCUUUAUGCCACCGGCAGACUGCUCAGUAACACGUUGAUAACCUUCCCUUAGGUGGGCAUAGCCUUGGAAAACUGAGGAUAAUUCCCCAUAGGAGAAUUCGUCUGGAAUCGAGUUUUCUCCAAAAGCUACGGCGCCUAAGGAUGGGUCAGCGGCGGAUUAGGUUGUUGGCGGGGUAACUGCCCACCAAGCCGAAGAUCCGUACGGGCCGUGAGAGCUGUAGCCCGGAGAAGGACACUGAGACACUGGUCCUAGCCCUACGGGGUGCAGCAGGCGCGAAACCUUUACAAUGCACGAAAGUGUGAUAAGGGAAUCCUAAGUGCUUAGCUUAGCUAGGCUUUUGCCAAGUGUAAAUAACUUGGCGAAUAAGUGGUGGGUAAGACGGGUGCCAGCCGCCGCGGUAACACCUGCGCCACGAGUGGGAAUCGCUAUUAUUGGGCCUAAAGCGUCCGUAGCCUGUCUAGUCAGUCUCUUGUGAAAUAACCGGACUCAAUCCGGUGACGUGCAGGAGAUACUUCUAAACUCGGAACCGGUAGGGGUAAGAAGUAUUUUUGGGGGAGCGGUAAAAUGCUAUAAUCCCAGAAAGACUGCCAAUGGCGAAGGCAUCUUACCAGGACGGAUUCGACGGUGAGGGACGAAAGCCAGGGGAGCGAUCCGGAUUAGAUACCCGAGUAGUCCUGGCUGUAAACGCUGCGAGCAAGGUGUCGCACAUCCUACGUGGAUGUGCGGUGUCGAAGUGAAGACGUUAAGCUCGCCGCCUGGGAAGUAUGGUCGCAAGACUGAAACUUAAAGGAAUUGGCGGGGGAGCACUACAAGGGGUGCGGCGUGCGGUUUAAUCUAAUUCAACGCAGAGAAUCUCACCAGAUGCGACGGCAGGAUGAAGGUCAGUCUGAAGGGCUUACCAAACAAGCCGAGAGGUAGUGCAUGGCCGCCGUCAGCUCGUGCCGUAAGGUGUCCUGUUAAGUCAGGCAACGAGCGAGACCUGUGCCUAUAAUUGCUAACGGCUUCAUUGAAGGACCGAGCACUUUAUGGGAACUGCCAUGGAAACAUGGAGGAAGGUGCAGGCUACGGUAGGUCUGUAUGCUCCGAAUCUUCUGGGCAACACGCGCGCAACAAUGGUACGGACAAUGGGAUACAACUCCGAAAGGAGAAGUUAAUCCUCGAAACCGUAUCUCAGUUCGGAUUGAGGGUUGUAACUCACCCUCAUGACGCCGGAAUCCCUAGUAAUCGGGUGUCAACAUCGCCCGGUGACUAUGUCCCUGCUCCUUGCACACACCGCCCGUCAAACCACUCGAGCAGGGCUUAGAUGAGAGUAAGUUUUUUGAUUUACUCGAAUCUAAGCUCAGUGAGAUGGGUUAAGUCGUCACAAGGUA